Molecule: ribosomal RNA, 497 nt
Filed under: uncultured bacterium
Lineage: Bacteria
Description: partial 16S ribosomal RNA
Rfam family: Bacterial small subunit ribosomal RNA
Source: RNAcentral
GAUGAACGCUGGCGGCGUGCCUAAUACAUGCAAGUCGAGCGAACAGACGAGGAGCUUGCUCCUCUGACGUUAUCGGCGGACGGGUGAGUAACACGUGGAUAACCUACCUAUAAGACUGGGAUAACUUCGGGAAACCGGAGCUAAUACCGGAUAAUAUAUUGAACCGCAUGGUUCAAUAGUGAAAGACGGUUUUGCUGUCACUUAUAGAUGGCUCCGCGCCCCAUUAGCUAGUUGGUAAGGUAACUGCUUACCAAGGCAACGAUGCGUAGCCGCCCUGAGAGGGUGAACGGCCACACUGGAACUGAGACACGGUCCAGACUCCUACGGGAGGCCGCAGUAGGGAAUCUUCCGGAAUGGGCGAAAGCCUGACGGAGCAACGCCGCGUGAGUGAUGAAGGUCUUCGGAUCGUAAAACUCUGUUAUUAGGGAAGAACAAAUGUGUAAGUAACUAUGCACGUCUUGACGGUACCUAAUCAGAAAGCCACGGCUAACUACGUG